Molecule: ribosomal RNA, 466 nt
Filed under: uncultured bacterium
Lineage: Bacteria
Description: partial 16S ribosomal RNA
Rfam family: Bacterial small subunit ribosomal RNA
Source: RNAcentral
GACGAACGCUGGCGGCGUGCUUAACACAUGCAAGUCGAACGGAAAGGCCCUGCUUGCAGGGUACUCGAGUGGCGAACGGGUGAGUAACACGUGGGUGAUCUGCCCUGCACUUCGGGAUAAGCUUGGGAAACUGGGUCUAAUACCGGAUAGGAGCCAUCUUUAGUGUGGUGGUUGGAAAGUUUUUUCGGUGUAGGAUGAGCUCGCGGCCUAUCAGCUUGUUGGUGGGGUAAUGGCCUACCAAGGCGGCGACGGGUAGCCGGCCUGAGAGGGUGUACGGCCACAUUGGGACUGAGAUACGGCCCAGACUCCGACGGGAGGCAGCAGUGGGGAAUAUUGCACAAUGGGCGGAAGCCUGAUGCAGCGACGCCGCGUGGGGGAUGAAGGCCUUCGGGUUGUAAACUCCUUUCGCUAGGGACGAAGCUUUGUUGUGACGGUACCUAGAUAAGAAGCACCGGCUAACUACGUG